GAAAUACAAGUAAACAAGAAAACCAUUAUUUUAAAAUACUUGUCCGUCAACAAAGCAACACAUCAAAACACUCUAUUUUUCCUGGCGGUCUUUUCAACUGAAAACUUAUAGUACAAUUUAUAAAGCGCGCGCAAUGCAUUAGCAACCUAAAGAAACGAGCCUAUUCUCCACUUUGGAGCGAGAACUACGUUUCUUAUAUUGUUAAGCCCCUAAUCCAAGAUAUUUUAGGCAGAAAAUGGUUUCUUUUUUGUUGUUUUUUUCUGCAUCGAGUAUUCUUGGACUAUUGUUGCUUAUAUUCAAAGUGGCUUCGCGGUUUUUUUGUUUUGUUUUUCUCUUUUUCGCAAUAUUUCUUUUUUCCCACUUUGAUUUGAUUUCCUGUAAGUAUUUUUCAGCAGGAAAACAGAUUUCAUUUUCCCGUUGUGUUAAAUACUUACAGAAAGUUACUGGCGCAAAAGUAUGACGAUAAUGAAUUAUAGCUUUAUAAUAUACAUGGGAAACGAAGCAAAAGCUGCGCCCUAUUUCUAGCUGCCUAACCUUCCUAACUAAUGCGCGCGCGCACAUACCCUUUCAAAAACCUGCAAGGGAAACCUCCGAAUGUGGAGUCUCGGUCAUGCCCCUAGCUUAACUUAACCUAGUGUGCCAUCGCACCUGGUGAGCUUCCACAAACAGGGGUAAGGUUUGCAUGCCUUAUGUUAAUUGUCUUCCAUGAUAUCGUUGAAUCGCCAAAACAGAGAGGGGACCUAAUCUCUGGUAGCGAACUGUUUUCAUAUAACUCGGGGCAGAAAACUAACGUUCGAAACCAGCGAUAUACAUGCACGACGGCCUAGACUGGCCUAGACUGUUUAUCAUUACAAUAAUUAGGUCAUUUCAGGCCUAAUCUGAUCUUUUUGUAGGUGGAAACCAGAGUACCCGGAGAGAACCCACAUCUUUCAAGAUCUUGUCCAAAAAUGAUCCACUACGAUAUCCACCAAUCUUCUUACGGGUACCAUUUGCACCCUCUAAGCUAUGGAUACCAUUUUCAUCCAGUUUAGUUAUCCUACCCAAGCAAAACUAUGCCAGCUUUUAAACUAACAAAAUUUUGCCUACACUCAUAUAUUACGUACACAAAUAUACAGAUCAUGUAAUGGAUUAAGGUUAAGGCUAUAGGGUUAGAUUAAACCCCAAGCCAAAGCCUAACACAUUUCAUGGUAUUUCUAAACAUUUAUGAACAUAACAUAUUGAUAUAAACAAAACUUUUAAGUCUGGCAAGGCUUAUACUCGUCUGCCUAUAUUCUGGAUACUAGCUGCGCGUUGCGUUUAUCCAUGCACAGACACGGAGACACCUAAGCAGUACAUUUACACAAAGAGAAGAACAUUGACACGAACAGAACACAAAUAGCUAGUGGGUCUCACUACGAGUUACCAGAGUGAAAAAAGAAUGUUCACUCUUUUUUACUUUAUGUAGUAGUCUUGUAUUUGAAGCAAAUACAUUGCUCCACCAAGUAUUUGAAGCAAAUAAAUUGCUCCAUCGUCUGGACCGUAACACUUAUUGAAACCCACCAAUAACCGAACCGAGUGCAUGCAAAUAACCACGUGACACGUGACUUUCGAUUGCAGAUGAUGUCGAAAUUCUGAUUAACUGAGGUCAAAAUUGUACCUCAAUAUUUAUUAACAUGCAAGCAUCUGAAUAAAAAUCAACCUUCCGUGCAAAUGUACUACUAACGACAGACCGCCAGGAAUUGUAAAUCGGUUAACCGAAAGACUUUACCGACCACAUGCAGAUAAUCCUAAAGAUAUACUGCCUGUUAGCAGGCUAACUACUGCCUGAUAGCAGGCUAACUACCAGACUAAUAAUCAAAACCCUCUAACCUCGAGGCAGUCAUCUCGUUGCCGUCGUGCAGCUUUCGUAGUCAAGGUACAUUGGUAGGUAACCGUCGAUUGCGAGGUACAUGUUAUCCAUAAAUGUUCAUAAUUAUCCAUAUAAGUUCACAAUAUCUCCAAUAGUACACAGUGGCAAUGCAGUAAUCCGUAUUUAUCCAUUGGUAUCCGCUACGACGCGUACUGGACCCUCCCAUCCGACACCUCAAAUGCGGUUUUGGUCAGUUUUAAAUUUUUUUUUGUCAAUAUUUUUAAUACAAUUAUAGUAUCUGUGAGAAAC
Molecule: non-coding RNA, 2137 nt
Organism: Paramuricea clavata
Lineage: Eukaryota; Metazoa; Cnidaria; Anthozoa; Malacalcyonacea; Plexauridae
Source: the annotation of a GenBank genome assembly